UACAGAGGGGGCAAGCGUUAUUCGGAAUUAUUGGGCGUAAAGGGCGCGUAGGCGGCGAUUCAAGUGACGGGUGAAAUCCCUCGGCUUAACCGAGGAACUGCCUGUCAGACUGGAUUGCUUGAGGCCGGGAGAGGCGAGUGGAAUUCCCAGUGUAGCGGUGAAAUGCGUAGAUAUUGGGAGGAACACCAGUGGCGAAGGCGGCUCGCUGGACCGGUACUGACGCUGAGGCGCGAAAGCGUGGGUAGCAAACGGG
RNAcentral lists this ribosomal RNA (253 nucleotides) under uncultured bacterium. RNAcentral describes it as "partial 16S ribosomal RNA". It matches the Rfam family "Bacterial small subunit ribosomal RNA", at positions 524 to 776 of the family's 1533-position model. The record is from RNAcentral.